UAAAAGUUGUUUUUUUAAUUUUCACAAUUUUUAAUUUACGUUUUACAUUUCAGAUAAACCGCGCGCGUAAACACGAACGAUUAAGAAAAUUGGAUUACAAAGUGGAUGUGUUAACUUUAAUUAAACUGUCCAUAAGAUUAAUAUCACAUGUGUAUUCAGACUUUAAUAUUAAUAAUAUAAUUGAUAUAACCAAGAAGCAACAUCGAUAUAUUAAACUAAAUAUAUUAAUAUACUAAAAGAUAAAUUACACGAAAGAUAUCGUAAAACUUUUUCCUCAUUUAUCUUUGAUAGAACAUAUUAAUCUGACACAAUCUCUCGGCUCUAUAUCUUUUCAGGUUUCACUGUUUGGUAGCCAUCAGCUUCUAAAGGGAGACAGAUGAGGUGGACCACUGGCAGGUAGCCGGUGUAUGUGGUGCAGCAGGUGAGCAGUAGGUCAACUCGGCUCACAUGUACAUUUAUAUGCGUGUCCGAUGCUCGAUACAAGAAAGUUCUUUGUCUCGAUGGAAAUGCAUCCGUGUGAAAUCAGAAAAUUCGUGAACUCGGAUCUAGGAUUUUUUAAAUGAGUUUUUAUAAGAAAAAAAAUUAAAAGUCAAGAUUAUUCAAGAUCGUUCAAAAUGAUACAAGAUCAAUCAUCAUUGAGAAACAUUCCAUUGGAGAAAUGAAUUUUUCGAUAUUCAUUGUAUAUGUCAUUUACUCAUCUCCUUUUCAAUUAUUAUACAGAUUCACUCUAUUUAAGGUAAAAUUAUAAUACAUUAUCUUUUAUUCCAACUCUUUUCGUUUUACCAUCUACAUAAACACAUCUCAAAUAAAUAAAUGCAUGUAUCAUCAAUUACUCAAUGUCUAAACAAAAUAUUGUGUGUUUCUUCUAGGCUCUCAUCAAGACUCUUGGAAAAUUGCAAGAAACUCGAUACCAAGCAAAAGGAACUUUAUCGACCGUUCGAAAUGAUUCGAGUUUUCGAUGUACAGCCGGUACAUACACACUCACACAGAGUUAGGAGUCAGGUAGUAAGGUGGGUAGGUGGUGGGUAGGUAGGUGCAUACGCGUAGCGUGGGAAGGUCCGGCAGCUGAGAGCAGAAGGGGCCCCAAAAAGCGGCUGCAGCUUCUUCUUCUUGCCUGUUGCUGCCGCUGCCCUCUGCCUCGGCCCUUCCUCACCCGUGGGACCUGCCCACUUCUUCUUCUGGAUAUACGACCCGAACUAUUCAGAUGCCCGUGAACGCGACUUUUCCGCUUUCCUUCUUUGCCUGUGUACGACCUCUCUUAAUUCUCAGCUGUGCCGGGACCGGUGCCUUAUCGAAUAUCGUAUAAUGCGUGUAACGUUGAGACGAUGGGAAGGUAGUUUCCACGGUGAUUCCCAAUCGCGGAUGCAAGACGUCGCGACGACAAGGACAACGAUAACCACGACGACAUCCUGUCCCUUGAAUUGAAAGGACGGAGUAUUCGGUGAAGGUCUUAUUAUUAAUUGUUCGAGUUCCUGCUCAAACACUGGAGAUUAAAUCCGGGAGGAACUAAUCCGGCACGUAGUGCCUCUUUAUUCCGUCUGUCCCACGUAGAGAGAAGCCUCUCACGUACACACACUCGUCUCUCUAUAGAUGUUUGUUACGUCAAGGUACGGUAGAUAGAGCCCUCUGUGAAUCGUAAAUACACGUAUAUAUACACACUCCAUGUGCUUCGUGAGAGUAAAUACACUACGAAUCUUCGUGAAUGAAAUUUCAACCCUUGAAUCGCGUUCUCUACCUGGAAUAUCUUCUUUUUUUUAUUUUUAUUCUUCUUUUUUUCCUUUUUUUUUUUUUGUUUUAAGGGGCUUCGUUGUAAAACACCGCGAGAAUGUUAAUCGAGGGCAAUGAAGGAUAAGUAUAAGAAUAGGUUAAGAGCUAUCCUGCGUUCUUAAAUAUUAUCUUAAAUAUUUAAUAUGUAUAGAUGUAAAUGAAAUUGGAAUGUUUAUUUCAUCUUAAGAAAUAUUAAUUUUCGAUUAAAAAUCAGUAUCUCCAAAACAGGAUUAUCCUAACUACAAUCGAGAUCAAGCCUCGAAUAUAACCUCAAAUUUACCAAAACAAUAACAACAACCAACAUGGUGGAUGCCAACGUAAGGAAGCGAAAAGUUUUUCGUAGGGAAUAAAAUCGGCGGCCUGGAUCUCAAAUCAAGAUUGGAGCGGAUCGCAGCCUUGGAUGCUGUCCACUUAGAUAAGGAUAGCCCCUGGAGAGGAGGAAGGGGAUUCACCGACAGCAGGCCAGUUAUUCGCGCGCCAGAAGGUAGCUCUCGAAAAUUUACUUUGGGCCAAAGUUGGAAAGAGGAAGAGGAUUGAAACGGUGGUUGAACAGAGACGGAGGAAUCGGCGAAGAAAAGGAAAGAGGAGGAGAAAGGUUGAAUAUCGGAGAUGAGAGUUGGCCGAUGGAAUCGGCGGCUUCGAGAGCCAGAUGCAGGAUCCGCAGACGGAACGGAAGGAAGCAUUUUUUUAUUAUGUUUGUUGCCCGCCUUUCUCGGCCCUGAAGUAAAAGAACAGAUACGGUGUAACGGGAGAAGGUCGUUUCUGUGGGUGUACAUCGU
RNAcentral lists this long non-coding RNA (2546 nucleotides) under Apis florea (little honeybee). RNAcentral describes it as "uncharacterized LOC116414023". The record is from RNAcentral. Lineage: Eukaryota; Metazoa; Arthropoda; Insecta; Hymenoptera; Apidae.